RNAcentral lists this ribosomal RNA (478 nucleotides) under Streptococcus parasanguinis. Its description in RNAcentral is "bacterial SSU rRNA". It matches the Rfam family "Bacterial small subunit ribosomal RNA", at positions 28 to 497 of the family's 1533-position model. The record is from RNAcentral. Lineage: Bacteria; Bacillati; Bacillota; Bacilli; Lactobacillales; Streptococcaceae.
GAUGAACGCUGGCGGCGUGCUAAUACAUGCAAGUAGAACGCUGAAGCUUGGUGCUUGCACCGAGCGAUGAGUUGCGAACGGGUGAGUAACGCGUAGGUAACUGCCUCUUAGCGGGGGAUAACUAUUGGAACGAUAGCUAAUACCGCAUAAAAGUCGAUAUCGCAUGAUAUUGAUUUGAAAGGUGCAAAUGCAUCACUAAGAGAUGGACCUGCGUUGUAUUAGCUAGUUGGUGAGGUAACGGCUCACCAAGGCGACGAUACAUAGCGACCUGAGAGGGUGAUCGGCCACACUGGGACUGAGACACGGCCCAGAUCCUACGGGAGGCAGCAGUAGGGAAUCUUCGGCAAUGGGGGCACCCUGACCGAGCAACGCCGCGUGAGUGAAGAAGGUUUCCGGAUCGUAAAGCUCUGUUGUAAGAGAAGAACGAGUGUGAGAGUGGAAAGUUCACACUGUGACGGUAACUACCAGAAAGGACGGC